GAUGAACGCUGGCGGCGUGCCUAAUACAUGCAAGUCGAGCGAACAGACGAGGAGCUUGCUCCUCUGACGUUAGCGGCGGACGGGUGAGUAACACGUGGAUAACCUACCUAUAAGACUGGGAUAACUUCGGGAAACCGGAGCUAAUACCGGAUAAUAUAUUGAACCGCAUGGUUCAAUAGUUAAAGACGGUUUUGCUGUCACUUAUAGAUGGAUCCGCUCCGCAUUAGCUAGUUGGUAAGGUAACGGCUUACCAAGGCAACGAUGCGUAGCCGACCUGAGAGGGUGAUCGGCCACACUGGAACUGAGACACGGUCCAGACUCCUACGGGAGGCAGCAGUAGGGAAUCUUCCGCAAUGGGCGAAAGCCUGACGGAGCAACGCCGCGUGAGUGAUGAAGGUCUUCGGAUCGUAAAACUCUGUUAUUAGGGAAGAACAAAUGUGUAAGUAAAUAUGCACGUCUUGACGGUACCUAAUCAGAAAGCCACGGCUAACUACGUG
This 497-nucleotide ribosomal RNA is filed under the name uncultured bacterium. RNAcentral's name for it is "partial 16S ribosomal RNA". It matches the Rfam family "Bacterial small subunit ribosomal RNA", at positions 28 to 507 of the family's 1533-position model. The record is from RNAcentral.